AUACGGAGGGGGCUAGCGUUGUUCGGAAUUACUGGGCGUAAAGCGCGCGUAGGCGGAUUAGUCAGUUGGGGGUGAAAGCCCGGAGCUCAACUCCGGAAUUGCCUUCAAUACUGCUAGUCUUGAGUUCGAGAGAGGGUGGUGGAAUUCCUAGUGUAGAGGUGAAAUUCGUAGAUAUUAGGAAGAACACCAGUGGCGAAGGCGGCCACCUGGCUCGAUACUGACGCUGAGGUGCGAAAGCGUGGGGAGCAAACAGGAUUAGAAACCCUAGUAGUCC
RNAcentral lists this ribosomal RNA (274 nucleotides) under uncultured bacterium. RNAcentral describes it as "partial 16S ribosomal RNA". It matches the Rfam family "Bacterial small subunit ribosomal RNA", at positions 523 to 796 of the family's 1533-position model. The record is from RNAcentral.